CUCUCUCUCUCUCUUCCCUUCCUUUACUCUACAUUUCCUUGGCACAGAGUUGCUUUUUGUUACCUUCCUCGUCCUCUUCCUGCUGCCUCCUGUCCCCUGCCGCUGCCGGGAUCUCGUGCGUGCGUGCCGAGCUGGAAUCAGAGAGCACAGGGAAGCGUGGCGUGAAUGACCAAUCUAGUGAACAUUAUUGUAGGCAGUUAAGUGGAUUACAGUCAGUUUUUCUUUGAACAUUUCACACUGACACUAACUAGCUAACCAUUGGGCCCUAUCUGGCGCGUGGGCCGAGCCGGGCAAUGAAUAACGCCCCAUUGAAGCUAAUAGCAGGUAAAUAACACACUUUGCCGAUUCGCUUUAUGCCUGUAAUUAUACAUCACUUUUUUACACACUGCCACCGAUGGUUACAAUUCGAAUAUUUUCAUAAUAACAGUUAUUCGUUCCCUCUCUCUCAUGCAACCCGUGAACAGGUGGAAAGUGUUGUCUGCUGGAAUCACGUGAUGUUCUAAAUAAGGCACACGACUGGGGACUUUUCCCUCGGUGUGAGUGGUGCUGGCUGGCGGAUAAUGCAUUGCUCUUUACUUCAUACAAGGACAGAAAACACAAGCCUUCCUGAUGUACAGUGGCACAAACCCAGAGAUAAAUGCACACGCCCUCCAUCACAAAAUAAUCCCGCAAAAGCUGGUUCUGAAGCCUCCCUAUUGCAGGAUUUAAACGAAAUGUGAAAUGUCGGAUAUAAAGCUAAUAAGCUUUUCACUUUCUCACUUAACACAGGUUCAGUACAUUUGAUUUAACCCAUGAACAAGGGCUUAGUGCAUCACGCAUUGAUGUGUUCACUGGUACGCUCCCAGCACGGCUGCCGAAUCUGUCGGCAGCAAGAUUCGGCAGCAGCAGCAGCACAGGGACUAGCGUGGCGCCACGCACGGCCCACCAAUCACACCCAGCCAGGGUAUUGCCAGUCCCCCGGGACAAGGCUUCAGGGCUCGACCAGCUCACCGCUAUCCUCUUACUACGGCUCAGUCCUACACCUCAUAGUGACGCUGCUCGGACAGGACUUUGCGAUUCAUGUCUGAAUUAUUUUUGCACUGAAAGCGUAUCAUAAUCUACAUUCGAUAGUGUACGCGGUGGAAAUGCUGUGAAGGGAAGGUGUUACGAGUCAUAGAUGGGAUGGCGGCGAGGUCGUGUAGCUGGGACAUCCUGGACAACGGGGAGGCGGGGGCCAGCCAGCUUACAUGACUGCCGCGCCGGAUCACCUGUCAGGCACAGAGGGCCACGGCAUGGCGCCCCCUGUAUCUGUGUCUCGGAAAAUUCGUCAUGGACCUUCAAGAAUGGACAUUCAUAAAUCAUGAGUGGACGAAACAAAAAAGGAAGGCAGUAGACGUAUGGAGGCUUCUCUCUGAUAUCGCUGGAAUUUUCAUACUUCUGGUUGCGUUCCCUGAUCGCGAGGAAGGAAAAUCUACAUUCUCUACCCGCAGUUAUUCUCUCCGUUAACAGCAUUUUCAUGAACGAAUUUUCACGAAGCAGGGAAGUGUCCCGCUCUGCUCAAUGCCCCGGGACGCAGCCACCUGUCCCCCGCCUCAUCACCCGCCCGCCUGGAUAUUUGUUCGCCGUGAAUGUGACGGCUGUGCGUUGCCUUGGAGCUUCCCGUCACGCUGCACCAGACAGUCGUGUGCCAUUACUUGCAUGUCACGGCUUCAAAUUACCUCGAGUUUAAAUUUGUUUGCUUAUUUAUUUAUCUGUUUAUUUAUUUAUUUUUUAUUUAAAGAAUUUGUGGUGUGUACUGUGUUUGUAGGUGAACACACAGAUGUUACGUGAAUCAUGUAAUAUCUGGCCUGGUGUUUCCCCUCACAGCGGGGAAGUGAGGGGCACGUUAACCCUGCGCCAGGAAUAGCGGUCAUCACAGCGUGACGAGCUUGUCAAUAACUCCGCCGCCACCCCGGGGAAAAUGCAACUGCUGACGUCACAGCUGACCCCCUUAAAUCGACAGGGUGGCUUUCGUUGAUGCCAUACGCCACUCUGUGGACGCGCCAGGUGGUGAGAAGGGAGGGGAGGGGUGGCGCGCUGUAUCACCUCUGUGUGUUGUCAGUGGCGGCGGGUAUGACACACCCACCUAAUGGAUGCAACCUUUCUUUCCCUCUCGAAUUUUGAGGCUCCCUUGUUUGAAGAAAAAUAUAAAUGACUGCCCCCAGGAUUAGUGGGACCAUUAGUGCAAUUUAUGUUGUGCUGGAUCUCCAGUAUUUGUGGUGGUGGUGGCAGUGGCGGUGGUGGCGGCGCAGUGAGCUAACACGGCCGCGGCCUCCCUGCUCCCUCCGUCACACUCAGGCGCCCACCCGCCAAAGGGGGAAAACAGCGAUGUUUUAUGUGCAUCUUAUUAUGAACGCAGUAAAGUUAGCCGUUUGGUUACUUUAUUCCAGGAUUUUCUUAAUUUCGCAGACAAAUGGAGAGCAAGAUUAUUUUUCUGGUGUCUUUACAUGCGAACUGUAUGUUAAUUUCAAUGUUGGUAAAAUGUAUGCUUCUAAAAAAUAUAUAUAUAUAUGAAAACUUGCUUUUAUUUAAUUCUCGACUGAGCAUUGAACGGGAGAAAGGAAAAGUGAAAAACACGACGAAAAUUACGGGCAGGAACCGUGGAGCGUGUCGAGGGUGGUGGUGGUGGUGGUGGGGGUGGGGUAAGCGACCACAACACCAGCCAGAGAGGAUUUCCCGACGCUGAGGUGGUGGUGGUGAUGGUCGUGGUCCGCCUCCUUCCCUCGCCAUGCAUUAUUAACAGGUGACGCCUCCUCCGGGGCCAGCUCGGACUCACCUCAGAUGUUUUUCCUCGCCUGUGUGAGUAGUGGCGGGUCAAGGCAAGGCGGCGCGCCUCCCUCACUGAUCUGAUCACUGCGUGCCAAUAUCGGUGGAUGCUAUUAUACGUUUGUUAGUGACACGCAUCUCAACACAGACGCUCAAGAUGGUCAUUAUUUAUAACUUUUUGAUAUAUA
Molecule: long non-coding RNA, 2972 nt
Organism: Scylla paramamosain (green mud crab)
Lineage: Eukaryota; Metazoa; Arthropoda; Malacostraca; Decapoda; Portunidae
Exons: 2
Source: RefSeq, a predicted model, not a curated record